RNAcentral lists this ribosomal RNA (211 nucleotides) under uncultured bacterium. RNAcentral describes it as "partial 16S ribosomal RNA". It matches the Rfam family "Bacterial small subunit ribosomal RNA", at positions 524 to 733 of the family's 1533-position model. The record is from RNAcentral.
UACGUAGGGUGCGAGCGUUGUCCGGAAUUAUUGGGCGUAAAGGGCUCGUAGGCGGUUUGUCGCGUCGGGAGUGAAAUCCACUGGCUUAACUGGUGGCUUGCUUUCGAUACGGGCAGACUGGGAGGUAUGCAGGGGAGAACGGAAUUCCUGGUGUAGCGGUGAAAUGCGCAGAUAUCAGGAGGAACACCGGUGGCGAAGGCGGUCAUCCUGG